Molecule: unclassified non-coding RNA, 348 nt
Filed under: soil metagenome
Description: partial contains 5.8S ribosomal RNA, internal transcribed spacer 2, and large subunit ribosomal RNA
Rfam family: 5.8S ribosomal RNA (bases 1-120)
Source: RNAcentral
GAUGAAGAACGUAGCGAAAUGCGAUAAGUAAUGUGAAUUGCAGAAUUCAGUGAAUCAUCGAAUCUUUGAACGCACAUUGCGCCCGCCAGUAUUCUGGCGGGCAUGCCUGUCUGUGCGUCAUUUCAACCCUCAUGCCCCUAGGGCGUGGUGUUGGGGAUCGGCCAAAGCCCGCGAGGGACGGCCGGCCCCUAAAUCUAGUGGCGGACCCGUCGUGGCCUCCUCUGCGAAGUAGUGAUAUUCCGCAUCGGAGAGCGAUGAGCCCCUGCCGUUAAACCCCCAACUUUCCAAGGUUGACCUCAGAUCAGGUAGGAAUACCCGCUGAACUUAAGCAUAUCAAUAAGCGGAGGA